RNAcentral lists this ribosomal RNA (294 nucleotides) under Salmonella enterica subsp. enterica. RNAcentral's name for it is "partial 16S ribosomal RNA". It matches the Rfam family "Bacterial small subunit ribosomal RNA", at positions 1250 to 1533 of the family's 1533-position model. Lineage: Bacteria; Pseudomonadati; Pseudomonadota; Gammaproteobacteria; Enterobacterales; Enterobacteriaceae. The record is from RNAcentral. RNAcentral also lists the same sequence under 2 other names.
CGACCUCGCGAGAGCAAGCGGACCUCAUAAAGUGCGUCGUAGUCCGGAUUGGAGUCUGCAACUCGACUCCAUGAAGUCGGAAUCGCUAGUAAUCGUGGAUCAGAAUGCCACGGUGAAUACGUUCCCGGGCCUUGUACACACCGCCCGUCACACCAUGGGAGUGGGUUGCAAAAGAAGUAGGUAGCUUAACCUUCGGGAGGGCGCUUACCACUUUGUGAUUCAUGACUGGGGUGAAGUCGUAACAAGGUAACCGUAGGGGAACCUGCGGUUGGAUCACCUCCUUACCUUAAAGAA